GAUGAACGCUGGCGGCGUGCCUAAUACAUGCAAGUCGAGCGAACAGACGCGGAGCUUGCUCCUCUGACGUUAGCGGCGGACGUGUGAGUAACGCGUGGAUAACCUACCUAUCAGACUGGGAUAACUUCGGGACACCGGAGCUAAUACCGGAUAAUAUAUUUAACCGUAUGGUUCAUUAGUGAAAGUCGGUUUUUCUGUCUCUUAUAGAUGGCUCCGCGCCGCAUUAGGUAGUUGGUAAGGUCACGGCUUACCAAGGCAACCAUGCGUAGCAGACCGGAGAGGGGGAUAGCCCACCCGGGAACGCGACCACGGUCCAUGCGCCUACGGGAGGCAGCAGUAUGGUACCGUCGGCAAUGGUGGAGAACUUGACGGAGUGACCGCACGUGAGUUGUAAAGGUGCUCGGAGCGGAAAGCUCGCUUAUGAGUUAAAAACAAAUUUCAAAGGAAAAAAACACAUCUUGACGGUACCUAAACAGAAAGCCACGGCUAACUACGUG
RNAcentral lists this ribosomal RNA (497 nucleotides) under uncultured bacterium. RNAcentral's name for it is "partial 16S ribosomal RNA". It matches the Rfam family "Bacterial small subunit ribosomal RNA", at positions 28 to 507 of the family's 1533-position model. The record is from RNAcentral.